RNAcentral lists this ribosomal RNA (675 nucleotides) under Triticum aestivum (bread wheat). Its description in RNAcentral is "partial small subunit ribosomal RNA". Lineage: Eukaryota; Viridiplantae; Streptophyta; Magnoliopsida; Poales; Poaceae. The record is from RNAcentral.
AUGUACUCGUCGCACUCGCUGAGCCGCGUCAACAACAUCUGCGCCUCCCUCAUCAACGCGCAGAAAGGUACCCAAUCUGCCGCCACCUACUUUGCCCACAUGCGUGGUCUCGCCGACGAGCUCGCCGCGGCGGGCAAGCCAAUCCAGGAUGAUGAGCUGAUCUCCUACAUCCUCCAUGGGCUGGAUCUGGAGUAUCAGCCCCUGGUCUCAGCCCUUGACGCUCGCGUCUCCCCUGCCUCCCUCGAUGAGAUCUUCGCCAUGCUCAGCAACUUCGACCAACGCAUGGCGCAGUUCCACGGUGCGGGCGGCAACUCCUUCAAGUCAUCGGCAAACACUGCAACCCGCGGCUCUGGUGGUGGCCGUUCCCGCGGCUCCUCCCGCGGAAGGGGCGGUCUGGUGGCAGCGGCAACAACGGCGGGCGCUCCAACAACAAGGCUCGUCACGGCGGCGGCAGCGGUUCUGGUCGAUCUCGCCCGGAAUUGCCUCGCUGCCAGCUAUGUGGUAAGCCGGGCCACACCGCAAAAGAUUGCUGGUACCGUUAUGAUGAGGACGAGGAUGACUCUCAAGACGAUGACAAGAUCGCUGCAGCGGCCGACGGCUCCUAUGGCAUCGACACCAACUGGUAUGUUGAUAGUUGCGCAACCAACCACAUCACCAACGAACUUGAGAAGGUGA